CUGACAGUCAAUAUGGCGGCAGAUUUUAAGUGUUUUGCUGACAGCAUCGUUAAUAAUAUGCAAUAAUGAAUGCGUUCUUGUUGUCAAAACAUCUCCAGAUAUAAAUUGUUCAAUACCGGAGCACUUCUUCUUUUUUCUACAAAAAAUCAUUGCACAAAAGCUCGCUUUAAAGGGGCAAAAUGCCUCCAAAGCGCCGACUAAGAGGGGGUUCAAAUUCGAGCAAUUUAUUUCAUUAUAACAACCAAGUUGAAUUGACGUUUAAAGGUCAACCGAAGGAAGAGAUGUUGGAAAAAGUUACAGAAGUUGGAGAUUCGGGAUCCGAUGAUGAUAAUGAGAAUUUGCCUGUUCUUAGAAAGAAAGGGAAAAAGAAUGUGGACACGUCAAGUAGCUCUGAUUCCAGUAGUGCAAGUGAUAGUGACUCAGAACAAGUCACAAAUAAUGAGUAAGUCAUGUCUGUUGAAUAUGAGGGGAUUCAGAGGACCAAAAUGCGGUAUCGGGCCGAUUUUUGCCUUAUUGGUGGAAAAUCAGAAUUGGUGUAAAACCGAUAUUUGUUGAGAAAAUAUGCACGCCAGGGUGCAUU
Non-coding RNA from Paramuricea clavata, 580 nucleotides. The record is from the annotation of a GenBank genome assembly. NCBI's taxonomy places the organism in Eukaryota, Metazoa, Cnidaria, Anthozoa, Malacalcyonacea, Plexauridae.